This 468-nucleotide ribosomal RNA is filed under the name uncultured bacterium. Its description in RNAcentral is "partial 16S ribosomal RNA". It matches the Rfam family "Bacterial small subunit ribosomal RNA", at positions 28 to 507 of the family's 1533-position model. The record is from RNAcentral.
GACGAACGCUGGCAGCGUGCUUAACACAUGCAAGUCGAACGGAAAGGCCCUGCUUUUGUGGGGUGCUCGAGUGGCGAACGGGUGAGUAACACGUGAGUAACCUGCCCUUGACUUUGGGAUAACUUCAGGAAACUGGGGCUAAUACCGGAUAGGAGCUCCUGCUGCAUGGUGGGGGUUGGAAAGUUUCGGCGGUUGGGGAUGGACUCGCGGCUUAUCAGCUUGUUGGUGGGGUAGUGGCUUACCAAGGCUUUGACGGGUAGCCGGCCUGAGAGGGUGACCGGCCACAUUGGGACUGGGAUACGGCCCAGACUCCUACGGGAGGCAGCAGUGGGGAAUAUUGCACAAUGGGCGGAAGCCUGAUGCAGCAACGCCGCGUGCGGGAUGACGGCCUUCGGGUUGUAAACCGCUUUCGCCUGUGACGAAGCGUGAGUGACGGUAAUGGGUAAAGAAGCACCGGCUAACUACGUG